RNAcentral lists this ribosomal RNA (1331 nucleotides) under uncultured organism. RNAcentral's name for it is "bacterial SSU rRNA". It matches the Rfam family "Bacterial small subunit ribosomal RNA", at positions 84 to 1411 of the family's 1533-position model. The record is from RNAcentral.
GAUGCUGACGACCGGCGCACGGGUGAGUAACGCGUAUGGAACCUACCUGAAACAGGGGGAUAGCGUCCGGAAACGGGGAUUAAUACCCCAUACGAUUCAUUUGUGGCCUCACAAAUGGAUAAAAGCUACGGCGGUUUCAGAUGGUCAUGCGUACCAUUAGUUAGUUGGUGAGGUAAAGGCUCACCAAGGCGAUGACGGUUAGGGGUCCUGAGAGGGUAGUCCCCCACACUGGUACUGAGACACGGACCAGACUCCUACGGGAGGCAGCAGUGAGGAAUAUUGGUCAAUGGGCGCUAGCCUGAACCAGCCAUGCCGCGUGCAGGAAGACGGCCCUACGGGUUGUAAACUGCUUUUCUGCAGGAAGAAUAUAUAGUCUUAGGGCUAUAUUGACGGUACUGCAGGAAUAAGCAUCGGCUAACUCCGUGCCAGCAGCCGCGGUAAUACGGAGGAUGCAAGCGUUAUCCGGAUUCAUUGGGUUUAAAGGGUGCGCAGGCUGUAAAGCAAGUCAGUGGUGAAAGCCCUGGGCUUAACUCAGGGAUUGCCAUUGAAACUGUUUUACUAGAGUGUAGUAGAGGACGGCGGAAUGAGUUGUGUAGCGGUGAAAUGCAUAGAUAUAACUCAGAACACCUAUUGCGUAGGCAGCUGUCUAUACUACAACUGACGCUGAGGCACGAAAGCGUGGGGAGCGAACAGGAUUAGAUACCCUGGUAGUCCACGCUGUAAACGAUGAUCACUCGUUGUUGGCUACUUAGUAGUCAGUGACCAAGGGAAACCGAUAAGUGAUCCACCUGGGGAGUACGUCGGCAACGAUGAAACUCAAAGGAAUUGACGGGGGCCCGCACAAGCGGAGGAACCUUGUGGUUUAAUUCGAUGAUACGCGAGGAACCUUACAUCGGGCUUAAAUGACUGGGUGCAUUGGAGGGAAACCUUCAUAUCCUACGGGACCGCCAGCAAGGUGCUGCAUGAUUGUCGUCAGCUCGUGCCGUGAGGUGUCGGGUUAAGUCCCAUCACGAGCGCAACCCCUAUCGCUAGUUGCCAGCACGUAAUGGUGGGGACUCUAGUGAGACUGACCGGUGUAAACCGGAGGAAGGUGAGGAUGACGAUCAAAUCAGCACGGCCCGGACGUCCAGGGCAACACACGAGACACAAUGCCCGGUACGAAGCGCAGCCUAACUCGCAACACGACAGGCAUCUCUAAAACCGGUCUCAGUUCGGAUCGAAGUCUGCAAUUCGACUUCGUGAAGGUGGAUUCGCUAGUAAUCGCGCAUCAGCCAUGGCGCGGUGAAUAAGUUCCCGGGCCUUGUACACACCGCCCGUCAAGCCAUGGAAGU